UUACGGCCAUAUAACGUCGAAAUAUCGGUUCUCGUACGAUCAUCGAAGUUAAACAACGUCGAGCCUGGUCAGUAUCUGGGUGGGUGACAACUUGGGAAUACCAGGUGCUGUAA
This is a non-coding RNA of Acanthosepion pharaonis, 113 nucleotides long. Lineage: Eukaryota; Metazoa; Mollusca; Cephalopoda; Sepiida; Sepiidae. The record is from the annotation of a GenBank genome assembly.